AUUUUCAACCUGCCUUGAUAAAAAAUCCUGUGCCAAGUUCUUAGGCUUGCUGGAUUGAUAUCAAUAUCUCUGUGGCCCGAUCAAAAGUAAUUACUCAAUAUGGCUUUGUAUGCCUAUGCUGAACAGAUAUGUUUGAAUUUAUAUGGGCUGCUGAAUGCGCAGCCGCGCAGCUAACUUUUACAGCCUUAGGGGCGAUUCAUUGAAUUUUUUUUUUUACUAAAGUUUUCUUGUUUUAUUGCAUCAGUGAGACUCCAGUCCAAAAGAGGGAUUGGAUUUAGCGGUUAAAUCAGGUCAUCAACUUACACACAGCUCAUCUUGGCCUGUUGGUUGAGAACUUAGACUUUCAACUUAUAUUAGGCUUUCAACUAUAAGGCCUUAUACAGAUAACCUCGCUACGAUGCUCCAAGAACACAAGUCAGAUUGAACGGGGAAAACAGCCUGAAUGUUCAGUUAGGCGCCUUGAUUUUCACUUGCAAAAGCUACAGUGGCCAAGGUGGGGCUGGUUUGGCUUAAUAGUUUUUUUGAUCUUUUCUACUGAACGCGUUUAUUUGUAAUGUAUAUUUUAACGCAACUGAAUGUGUUUAUUAAAUUUUUUUUGUUUUUAAAAUGUAUAUAGGUAACUAUAUGAGUUAAAUAAAUAUGAAAUAAAUUUAUAUCGUAAGAGAUUUAUUAAA
Molecule: long non-coding RNA, 674 nt
Organism: Dendrobium catenatum
Lineage: Eukaryota; Viridiplantae; Streptophyta; Magnoliopsida; Asparagales; Orchidaceae
Exons: 2
Source: RefSeq, a predicted model, not a curated record